GCUGUGUAUUCAUCUUGGUCUCGUCCACUUUGUCCCAGACCGUGGUAGAAGAAGGAUCGCGAAGUUGUGUAGUUUCCGUGGUGUAAUUGUUACCCUAGCUAGAUAUCGAAGUUUGUGCGGUAAAAGUUGUGCGUGUUGAACUGUUGUGUCAGAGUUCAAAGCCUAGCGCAAGCUACGGCUUUUUCAUUCAGAGCCAACCCAAAAAUACCGCACAAAGCGCAGACGAAAAGCUAGCCGCCGCACCACCCUCCGUCGCGCAUCCAGUCUACGCUCUGGAAGCAAAGUUUCCCGGCGGUUUGAGGCCGGAAGGGAGUCGCGAACGCCCUCAACGCACUCCAGGCGACUAUUCCGUUCAUCGUUCGCCCAGCCAGUAAGUUCACGGCACGAGAAAACCACCAAAAUCUCGUGCGUGAACGUGAAACUCGGUUGUAGCUCAACGAGUCAUCGCUGGUGGCAGCCAUCGCCGUCGUCGUCGUAGGAAGCGCAAAAGGGAGCUUGAAAGCGUAAGCCCCGAAAGACCGUGAGUAGAGAGCCUUGCAUGCAAGCACCUUAGCACAGACACACAAUAUUAGCUAGAGUAGGCAAAAAACCGCACACGUUAGGUAGCCAGAUGUGAACAGGGGAAAUUAAG
This is a long non-coding RNA of Armigeres subalbatus, 631 nucleotides long. RefSeq lists it as uncharacterized. NCBI's taxonomy places the organism in Eukaryota, Metazoa, Arthropoda, Insecta, Diptera, Culicidae. The record is from RefSeq and is a predicted model, not a curated record. The transcript is spliced from 3 exons.